Rosa rugosa (rugosa rose) is the source of this 1822-nucleotide long non-coding RNA. RefSeq lists it as uncharacterized. The record is from RefSeq and is a predicted model, not a curated record. NCBI's taxonomy places the organism in Eukaryota, Viridiplantae, Streptophyta, Magnoliopsida, Rosales, Rosaceae. The transcript has 3 exons.
UAGAAUACAUGGGGGUCAUGGUGCCUUAACCCCAUAUUACAAGAAGAAUCAAAAUAACCACCCGAGAUAAUAUCAGGUGUCUCACCUAAGAAUAUGCAUUCUAACAUGCACCUUUUGGCGAAGAGUGCUCUACAGAAUAUUCCAUUUGCUUUAUAAUUGUGGUGACAAACGAGAAAUACAAUGCUCACGCUGAGCCAUGAGUUACUAAUACUAUCAGCUUUCCUAGUAUGCUGCCACCGGAAAAAUAACCCAAUGACACUAAGUUUCAUUUUACCAUUAGGAGGUUGCGACUAUUUGACAAAGCUAGGAACUCGCGUCCUACCUAGAGCAGAGAUGGCACACAAAGUGUGUAGGACGGGACAAAGGCCACAUCUCUAGACUAAAAAGUGGUCGGGACUUAUUGAAAGUGUAAAGUAAAUUACAACUACAAAAACAAAAUAGUUGAAAACUAAAAGCAACACAGUCCAGGUUGGGCCCAACAUAAGGACCCAAGCCCAAGAUUCGUCCAAGAAUAUGGGAAAGGCCACCACCAGGCCCAGAAAAGCUCCUGUCGCAUCCCCACCGUCGCACCACCACCCCCAUCCGCUCAUCUAGCCUUCAACGUUGUCGCAGCCCCAUUGUUGAUGCCUUGCCGCUCGCUGGACCUGAGAUACCAGAUCUGGUAGGGGUUUGCCACCAAGGAUCGACACAGAUCGGAUCGAUCUCCCCAUGGCAGAACGAUCUCUGAUCCCAUCUUCUCUUCACCACGCGGCUUGCUAUUCCAUUGAGCCUUAGCGCUACGUGGCGGCGAACGCCGCUUGCACCCUCCUCUUAAUUGCGAUAACCACCAUCGAUCCUGACCUCACUUCUGGCCAUCAGAACCUCAUUUCCCCAUUUUUAACCCGGAUUCCAGACCCAACAUCUCACCACCAACCCACCAAGCAGCCAAGAGAGGCGCUUAAACAACAGGUAUCAUUCGACGACCAAGUCGCUAGGACGUGCUGCCGGACGGAGAAGAAAACUAGCGAACAGGGUCCAGGCGCGUUCUAGGUUUUUAGGUGUUAAAACUCUAUUACAACAAUGUUGCUGCUUCUGUAUUUUUUCUUCAUGCCUAAUUCUAUAUAUACUAAAACAAGGUUUUUGGUAUCUUAGGAAGAGUACCUCCCUUAGUAACAAUUUACUGACUAUUUUGCCCUUCCAUUUUCUCUAUUUUUACAUUGUUACCCUACAGGUGAUUGCAGCCUGCACUGCUGCGUGCUUGGUUUGCUUCUGCGUGUUCGGUCUGCAGAAAGACAACUGGUUCUUUGAUCUGCAGGAAUAGAAAGAGUGAGAGAGGGUGGGAAAGGUUAAGCACGACGCUCUCUGUUCUUCUUUGCUUUAUAUGAGAAGAGAGAGAGAGAAAGAGGGAGAGCGAAAGGAAACGGCCUCGAUCGGUAUCUGCUUCUAGGCUAGCAGGUCUUCGUCGGAGCGAGGCAGAUUGCAGCCUUCUUGGAUGUGAUGAGCCCAUCUUUUUCAUUGUUGUUAGAGGUGAUGGAGGCUUUGCUGAGCAUGUUAUUGAUAAUUGUCCACCUCCACUACCAACUAUUUGAAAGAGGGGAAUGCACCUGGUUAAGUUGGAAUUACGUCUUCUGGAUUUUGGUGUAUGUUAAUGAAUUAGGCGAGUGUCUUCUGGGUUCAUCUUAUCACGAGGAUAUGUAUCCUUGUACAGAUUCCUACCAACUCAACAAAACCUUUAGGAGUAAUGGUCUUGAAGUCUCGAGGAGUGUUCUCUGAAGCACGUUGGUACUGGAUUGGGGUAGCAGCUUUAUUUGGAUUUAUUCUUUCAUUCAACUUCCUUUUUAUU